ACCCAGCCGAAGAGUCCCAAAUAGGACGAAACGCGCGUCCUGUAU
Molecule: non-coding RNA, 45 nt
Organism: Schistosoma mansoni
Lineage: Eukaryota; Metazoa; Platyhelminthes; Trematoda; Strigeidida; Schistosomatidae
Source: Rfam